AUUCCAUGAUAAGGGCAUUUCCGUAAUAGCUCUUUGUAUCGUUCCUAUGCCUCAUACAUGGACUCAUCAUCCAUCUGUUGGAAAGAAGUGAUCUCGUUCCUUAACGU
Molecule: non-coding RNA, 107 nt
Organism: Gossypium arboreum
Lineage: Eukaryota; Viridiplantae; Streptophyta; Magnoliopsida; Malvales; Malvaceae
Source: Rfam